RNAcentral lists this transfer RNA (63 nucleotides) under Psilodens balduri. RNAcentral's name for it is "tRNA-Phe". The record is from RNAcentral. Lineage: Eukaryota; Metazoa; Mollusca; Caudofoveata; Limifossorida; Limifossoridae.
AUUAAAAUAGCUUAAGUAAAAGCAAAACAUUGAAGCUGUUUAGUUGAUAAAUUUCUUUUAAUC